UUUAUUUAUUUAUUAUUUUAUUUAUAAUUUUGUUUUUUAUUUUUUAUUUUUAUUUAAUAUAUAUUAUUUUUAUUAGAAAUAUUAUUUAUUUAAAUUUUUAUAAUAUUUUAUAGUUUAUUAUUUUUAGUGUUACAAAAAUUGAAAUAAUUAUUUUAUUUAUAUUUUUAAUUUAAUAUAAAUUUUAGGAAUUAUUUUAUUAAUUGUUUUAUUGUUUAAUUAAUAUAUAUACUAAUUUUAAAAUAAUUUAGAAAUUAAAUUUAACUAAUUAUAAAUAUAUUUUUGUAUUUUAAAUUUAAUUUAUAUUUUUAUUGGUUUAAUUUUAUUAAAUGUAUUUAAUAUUUUAUUAAUAAUUUAGUAUAGAAGUAUUAAGUUUGAAAUAUUUAAUUUAAGUUAAUUUUAAUUUAUUUAAAUUUAUAUUAUUUUUAGAAAAAUAUUUUUUUUUAUUAAGAUUUAUUUUUAUAUUAAUUUUUUUAUUUUAUUCAACAAAAAUUGUUUAAUAAAAUUUUUUAUUUUAUAUUUAUAAUUUUUUAAUUAGUAAAUUAGUUUAAUUUUUAUUUAUUAACUUUACAAAAUGAAUUUUUUGAUUGUUUAUUAAAAACGUAUUAUUAAGAAUUUAUUUAAUAUUUAUUCUGCUCAAUGAUUUUUUAAAUAGCUGCAAUAUUUUGAUUGUACAAAGGUAGCAAAAUAAUUUGUGUUUUAAUUAAAUACUUGAAUGAAAGAAUAUACAUAAUAAUUAUUUUAUUAAUAUAAUAUAUUGAAUUUUAAAUUAAAUUGAAAAUUAUUUAAUUUUUAUAAAAGACGAAAAGACCCUAAAAAUUUUAAAUAUUAUUUUGUUUUUUUAUUUAGUUUUUUUAUUUGGGGUAAAUUUAUAUUAUAUUUAUAUUUUUAUAUUUAACUAAAUUUAUAGUUUUUAUUAAAUAAUAUAUUUAUAUUAAUUACUUUAGGGAUAACAGGAUAAUAAAAUUUUAUAGAUUAAAUUUAAUUUUUUGUUUGUUACCUCGAUGUUGAAUUAAUUUAUACUUAAUUAAAUAUAAAUAAUUAUGUCUUAGUUUGUUCAACUAUUUAAAAUUACUUGAUUUGAGUUUAAACCGAUGUAAGUUAGGUUGGAUUUUAUCUUUAUUUAUUUUUAAUAUUUUUUAGUACGAAAGGAUUUAAAAUUAUUUU
RNAcentral lists this ribosomal RNA (1164 nucleotides) under Parasaissetia nigra. Its description in RNAcentral is "16S ribosomal RNA". Lineage: Eukaryota; Metazoa; Arthropoda; Insecta; Hemiptera; Coccidae. The record is from RNAcentral.